CCCUGUGGCUCAGUUGGUAGAGUAUGGUGUUUGCAACGCCAGCAUGGUGUGUGCAACGCCAGGGUUGUGGGUUCGAUUCUCACUGGGG
Molecule: transfer RNA, 88 nt
Filed under: Salmo salar (Atlantic salmon)
Lineage: Eukaryota; Metazoa; Chordata; Actinopteri; Salmoniformes; Salmonidae
Rfam family: tRNA
About the family: Transfer RNA (tRNA) molecules are approximately 80 nucleotides in length. Their secondary structure includes four short double-helical elements and three loops (D, anti-codon, and T loops). Further hydrogen bonds mediate the characteristic L-shaped molecular structure. tRNAs have two regions of fundamental functional importance: the anti-codon, which is responsible for specific mRNA codon recognition, and the 3' end, to which the tRNAs corresponding amino acid is attached (by aminoacyl-tRNA synthetases). tRNAs cope with the degeneracy of the genetic code in two manners: having more than one tRNA (with a specific anti-codon) for a particular amino acid; and 'wobble' base-pairing, i.e. permitting non-standard base-pairing at the 3rd anti-codon position.
Source: Rfam by way of RNAcentral